CGUUUACGUGACACCCUUUGAGAAAAGUUGUUUGGAAAGUUUCCCUAGCAUAGUUAGUUAACAUAGGCAUACCUUUUUAUAAAUAGCGAGCAGUGUGGACAGAGCUAAACCCAGGAGUCACAAUCUAGACCUUAAACUUUCCCGAUGUCUUGUCAGACAUGGAAGCGUUUUUUCAGAUUUCAAAGUCUGAGGAGAGCUCCUUCUACCAGAGAGGUUAGCCGAGCCCAGUUCUGCAGCGCUGGCGACGGAGGGAGAAACACGACCUCUGCGGAGAAAGGAGGGACGGUCUCCGGGCAGACUGUGGUCUCUGCCAGGCGAGGGGCGGUGGUUACUGUGGCGAUAAACCGUCCGGAGGUGCGUAACGCGGUGAACCGGGAGACGGCGGCGAGGCUGUUGGACGAGCUGUCUGCCUUCGACCGCGACCCCCAGCUGAACGUGGCAAUUCUCCAUGGAAACGGAGGGAAUUUCUGCGCUGGUUACGAUCUGAAAGAGCUGGCCAAUCAUACAGCCUCCGUCAAAUUGGAGCAAGAUGUCACCAAAGGCCCUGGUCCUAUGGGCCCCUCCAGGCUGCAGCUGUCUAAGCCCCUGAUAGCAGCGGUCAGCGGUUACGCGGUGGCUGGAGGUCUGGAGCUUGCUCUGCUGGCUGACCUCAGGGUGCUGGAGGAGAGCGCCAUCAUGGGGGUGUUCUGUCGCAGGUUUGGAGUUCCUCUGAUCGACGGCGGCACUGUCCGCCUCCCUCACCUCAUUGGCUUAUCCCGGGCCAUGGACCUCAUUCUGACUGGUCGGCCAAUCGGUGCACAGGAGGCCCUGGCCUUCGGGUUGGCUAACAGAGUGGUGCCGGAUGGUCAAGCCCUGCAGGCAGCUAUGGAGCUGGCUGAGCAGAUCAGCUCGUUCCCCCAGCAGUGUAUGCGUGCCGACCGCUCCUCUGCUCUCCACAGCGUGUACGCUGCUACCUCGCUCUCUGCCGCCAUGCAGUACGAGGCCCAGCAUGGGGCGCCCGUCCUCCGGGCCGAGGCCGUCGCCGGGGCAACCAGCUUCACCUGCGGAGUGGGGAGAGGUGGGAGGUUCACCUGAGGGAGCGACACCUAACAAUGGAGGAGGUGGAGAGGCGGGAGGGUUAUCUGGCUAGCACAGCAUAGAAGUAGAAACCAUCAACAGAUACGAUUACACAACUACUGUCAGGACAGUCUCCUACUGAAGACCAGGAGAGACCAGGACAGUCUCCUACUGAAGACCAGGGCAGUCUCCUACUGAAGACCAGGGCAGUCUCCUACUGAAGACCAGGAGAGACCAGGACAGUCUCCUACUGAAGACCAGGGCAGUCUCCUACUGAAGACCAGGAGAGACCAGGACAGUCUCCUACUGAAGACCAGGGCAGUCUCCUACUGAAGACCAGGACAGUCUCCUACUGAAGACCAGGACCAGCAGACCCUGCCCACCCCACACCUCCCCCCUCCUCACCAGUCCUCCUCCUUGGUCGUUGGGGAGUGUCUUUCCCAGUGCUGGUCUGGCCUGGGUCUGGAUGGGGAGGUGGAGGAUG
This is an RNA transcript of Osmerus eperlanus (European smelt), 1540 nucleotides long. RefSeq lists it as uncharacterized. The record is from RefSeq and is a predicted model, not a curated record. Lineage: Eukaryota; Metazoa; Chordata; Actinopteri; Osmeriformes; Osmeridae. The transcript has 7 exons.